Molecule: ribosomal RNA, 181 nt
Filed under: uncultured bacterium
Lineage: Bacteria
Description: partial 16S ribosomal RNA
Rfam family: Bacterial small subunit ribosomal RNA
Source: RNAcentral
CAUGAAGUCGGAAUUGCUAGUAAUCGCGGAUCAGCAUGCCGCGGUGAAUACGUUCCCGGGCCUUGUACACACCGCCCGUCACACCAUGGGAGCCGGUAAUACCCGAAGUCAGUAGUCCAACCUCUUGAGGACGCUGCCGAAGGUAGGAUUGGCGACUGGGGUGAAGUCGUAACAAGGUAGC